This 475-nucleotide ribosomal RNA is filed under the name uncultured soil bacterium. RNAcentral's name for it is "bacterial SSU rRNA". It matches the Rfam family "Bacterial small subunit ribosomal RNA", at positions 26 to 518 of the family's 1533-position model. The record is from RNAcentral.
AGGACGAACGCUGGCGGCGUGCUUAACACAUGCAAGUCGAACGAAGUCCAUCCGAGCUUGCUCGGGGAAUACUUAGUGGCGAACGGGUGAGUAACACGUGAAGAACCUGCCUCGAAGAGGGGAAUAACAGUGGGAAACCACUGCUAAUGCCUCAUACCAUUAUCUAUUCGCAUGUUUGGAUAAUGAAAUGAAUUUCGCUUUGAGAGGGCUUCGCGGCCUAUCAGCUUGAUGGUGAGGUAACGGCCCACCAUGGCUACGACGGGUAGCUGGUCUGAGAGGACGACCAGUCACACUGGGACUGAGACACGGCCCAGACUCCACGGGAGGCAGCAGUGGGGAAUCUUGCGCAAUGGGCGAAAGCCUGACGCAGCAACGCCGCGUGCGGAUGAAGGCCUUCGGGUCGUAAACCGCUUUCAGUAGGAACGAUAAUGACGUACUACAGAAGAAGGUCCGCCAACUACGUGCCAGCAGCCGC